RNAcentral lists this ribosomal RNA (453 nucleotides) under uncultured bacterium. Its description in RNAcentral is "bacterial SSU rRNA". It matches the Rfam family "Bacterial small subunit ribosomal RNA", at positions 340 to 786 of the family's 1533-position model. The record is from RNAcentral.
UACGGGAGGCAGCAGUGGGGAAUAUUGCACAAUGGGCGAAAGCCUGAUGCAGCUAUGCCGCGUGUAUGAAGAAGGCCUUCGGGUUGUAAAGUACUUUCAGCGGGGAGGAAGGCGAUGCGGUUAAUAACCGCGUCGAUUGACGUUACCCGCAGAAGAAGCACCGGCUAACUCCGUGCUAGCAGCCGCGGUAAUACGGAGGGUGCAAGCGUUAAUCGGAAUUACUGGGCGUAAAGCGCACGCAGGCGGUCUGUUAAGUCAGAUGUGAAAUCCCCGGGCUUAACCUGGGAACUGCAUUUUGAAACUGGCAGGCUUGAGUCUUGUAGAGGGGGUAGAAUUCCAGGUGUAGCGGUGAAAUGCGUAGAGAUCUGGAGGAAUACCGGUGGCGAAGGCGGCCCCUGGGACAAAGCUGACGCUCAGGUGCGAAAGCGUGGGGAGCAAACAGGAUUAGAUACC